This is a long non-coding RNA of Camelus dromedarius (Arabian camel), 3635 nucleotides long. RefSeq lists it as uncharacterized. Lineage: Eukaryota; Metazoa; Chordata; Mammalia; Artiodactyla; Camelidae. The transcript is spliced from 14 exons. The record is from RefSeq and is a predicted model, not a curated record.
ACUGCCAAAGGGGGCUGUCCUCAGGGGGCAGCAGGCGCUUCUCUCGCCGGGGCCGCCAUGGAGAGAACCGUCUCCCUGCCGGGCAGAGGGGGUGCUGGGUCAGGGCUUGGGGCUCCUGGGCGCCAGAGGAUAGUAACCGGUACGAAGUGAUAGAAAUGAAAGGGGCCCCGAGAGACACAGAGAGAAUGAGGAGAGGCCACCAAGGACAUCAAGCUGAAGGAGUGAAUGCACAAAACCAGAGCGCCAGUGUCUCAGCUCGCAAUGAAGGGAGCAGAGUGUCGCCUGUGUAUCUGUUACAGGGCCUUUCCUAGAAGGCCAGGUGGCUGAAGACAAAGUCAGGGGCCCAGCCAGGCCUGGCUGAAGGAUCCAGGUGGCAUCUGGGGAUACCGCCCCACCAGGGCUCCACGUUCUCUUCUGAGCUCUCCAGCUAUUGCCAGAUUUAGUUCCAUCUCAGGAAGCUGCGCCAGCCGUCUGCAAGGCCCGCAAAGACUCCUGAAUACUUCUGGUGCUUCGGCUCACCCCGCCUUCCUUGUCGCUGUUAAGGAUUCCAGGGACCCACCCAGCUAAUCCAGGAUACUCUUCCCAUGCGAAGCUGUUUAAUGCAGGUCUGGGCAUUCAGGUGUCUCUGGGAGUCCCCAGGGGAUGACAGGUGUGUUUCGUGGUAUCACCUGUUCCUGUCUUCUUGAUGGGAUGGCCAGGGUGCCAUUAUCACAGCCACUCCUGGGCAUCAUCGCUUCUGCCCGACACCUCAGCUGACCCUCGGGAGCCAUCAGAUGGUCAAGACUUCAUGGGGUCCUUUAGAGAAAUGGCAAAGAAAGUCCUCCUGCAACCCUUCUGUCUCCAUCCUGGGACAUUGGCUUACGUUGCUAGAGUGACAGAUUCCACACUGAACUCGAAAUCAUGCGUUCCAAAGAUAAAGAAACUGAAGCUCAGAGAAGUGAAUGACCUGCUGGAAGUCACACAGCCAGGAAGAAGGGGAGUCUGGAUCCUCUGUCCCUGGACCCUUUGGAGCAGGCUGGAGAUGUACACAUGCCAAGAAACUGUUGCCUUUACCUGCCUCGUGGGGUUCAGGCCUGAUUGAGUGGAGACCCUACUUUGAUCUCAGUGAUUCUUCAACUACUUGGCUGCAGGAGGGUUGCUUCUAAUGGCUUCCAGCUGCCCCUUCACUGCAGACGAGCCCUCAGCCAGGCGAGAGCUGUCCCCCAGGAAGUUGCCCCGCACCGCACCACCUGGGCAGAUGGCAGCCCAUGACUGGCUGAUGUAUUGCAAAAGGCCACCUCAAGCCUCAAGUUGUUUUUGGCGAAGAGGCUGGUAUGAUACAAGCUAAUCCACCGUAUCCAGAGGAAAAGCAAAGAGCAUGGACUUUGGAGCCAAAUUUCCAGGAUUCAAACCUUAACUCCAUCACUUACUUGUCCUGUGAUCAUCAACAAGAAUCGACGGAAUUUCUCUGGCUGCUAGUCGCGCUGCCUGUAUCCGAAUAAACCCAGCUCGCAGGUAUCCAGCAGGAAACGGCUCCUGGUUCGCGUGUACGCAGACGCAUCCGCCCAGCGCGGGACGCGAGGUGGCUCCUCGUGUUCAUAAGGCGGCAGAUCUGGCCUCCGAGGGAAGCUGAACUAUCAGCGCCCUCAGGCCGAGCAGCCCUGCGCUGCCCCAACAGUGCCUGACAACCCCCCGCCCACCUGUGCUGGUGCUUCGGGAACCUGCCGAGCCAAGUCCGCCCGGGGCGAAAACUGAAAGCAAAUUCCGUGGCAGAUGAAGUUCGAACUUUUUUCGACGCAAGCUUGCAGCAGAGAUUCGGUGGUAGCUUCAGGAAGAUAGCGCGCUUUGGCAGUGCGCGCGCGCGCGCACGCGAAGUAGGGCGGUGGGCGAAGAGAGCACCGGGUGGUCAAGCUUGGUCGGAGGCAGAACCCGAGGAAAGAUGCCGCCCCUUCGUUAUUACUCGCUAAUUCCUCGGUCCCUGUCUGUAAAACUAGCUUCCAAGGUGCCGCAGAUGCCCAGGGUGUGUUUGUGGUGAUCGCACCAGGGAGGAGGCGGCUUUGUAAAUGUUGCAGAAAGAGCUUUGCCCAGAAGCGUCCGCCCAGCGGGGAGUCAAGAAAGCUGGGGACCAACUCUCCUACCCCCGAGCAGAAGGAGCUCUCUGGAGAGCUCCCCUGCCCAGUCGUCUCUCCUCACCUCGAAGCUGCAUGUAAAUAACCUCCCACUGCCUGCACUGCAAACUUCCCCGCACGGUGCCGCGGUUGGCGGGAGAGGCCCGGACGCAGAGCGGGCCCGCAAGGCCGCUCGUCGGCCCGCUUAGCCCAGCCCUGAGACGGGCUUACGCGGAGGUGAGAGGAUGAGUGGUUACCGCUCCCACUGGGCUGCCCAGACCAUCACCGCCCACCUCCUGACUCCCCAGAGCGGGCGCUUCCCCUUGGGAGCGGUGGUCUUGGGGGGCUGGCCAGGGCGCAAAAUGCGCGCGCGGGACUGGGGGGCGGCCGCCGGUCUCUCCGCGGGGCCUGUCGCCGGGCCGGCCGCGGCGGGUGAGUGAUGAGGGCAGAGAAGGGCGCCCAUAAAUCGCGGGUGUCAGGGCGAAAAACUCUCUUUAUUGUCUGCGUGAUGGAUGGGCCCGGGGACGAGACACCAAAUACUUCGUAUCGCCUUUAAAUGGGAACACAUUUUCCGCGGCCAUAAUUCAUGUUUUUUAAAUAGAAAGUUUGAAAUGUUGCCUAUAUUUCACCGGCCUUGACAUAUUUAUGAAUCGCUCCCUGCAUGCAAAUAUCAUUAUUUAAAGCGCCGAGGAGAGCUCGGGGGAGGGGAGGAGGCGCGGCCCCCAGGGCGUGGGGGUGGUGAACCGGGGAAAAGGCGAAUGGAGAGGGGUGGGGGGGGGGGAGGAAGCGGGGAACCAUCGCCCUAAAGUGCGGACAAUGAGGCGCGGAGGAAAGCCGUAUCCGGAAGCCGAGCGCACCGGGGGCUCCCCUCCCGCUGCCGGACCCCUUCCAGCCGCUCGGGGAAGUUUGUGUGGCUUGGGGUCGAGGACAGGCUCCCGCUCCCUGCCGGGAGACCAGGGGGCAUUUUGCGUCCCCUCUCCGAGGCUCUGAUCCGAGCCACUUUUUCCAAGAAAGAAGUAAAAAAUAAAUAAAUAAAUAAAUAUGAAGAAUUUAACAAACGCAAAUAAUAACAAUCCAACGUGUUUCGUGUUCGUUGCCAUUGCAUCGGUUUUAUUGCUUUUCAUUCUGCAAACCUGAGACUGCGCUCCCGGGCAGGGACACUGUUAGACCCCAUUCACCUCAGGGAGUGUGUUGGGGAUAACCGUCCGGUGCCGUGGUCCCGACCCGCCCCUACCCAACUAGCUCACUACCACCCAGGCACAAAGGAGACUGCGCAAGACGCGGGGACACGAAUGAUGCAUCCCCCUCAAGGUCUGGGGGCUUCAAUCCCGCCCACUGUGCCUCUCCUGAGUACCGCAGCGCUCCUGGGGUCUGCGUCUACCCUGUCGGAGCCCUACUAUCAGUACAGUCGCUUUGGAAAAAAGCCAGAUACUAUCGAAGAACAGCAACUCUCCGAGGUGUCUUCCCACCAGAAUGUAAACCUGAUGCGUCGUGGGGCUCCAUAUGAGGAAAAUGGUUACAACGUGACAAGAAGCGAUUAGAUGUGAA